This 251-nucleotide ribosomal RNA is filed under the name uncultured bacterium. Its description in RNAcentral is "partial 16S ribosomal RNA". It matches the Rfam family "Bacterial small subunit ribosomal RNA", at positions 524 to 776 of the family's 1533-position model. The record is from RNAcentral.
GACGAACCGUGCGAACGUUGUUCGGAAUCACUGGGCUUAAAGGCGCGUAGGCGGCUCUGAAAGUCCGGGGUGAAAGCCCCCAGCUUAACUGGGGAAGUGCCUCGGAUACUGCGGAGCUCGAGGGAGGUAGGGCGGAUGGAACUUCCGGUGGAGCGGUGAAAUGCGUUGAUAUCGGAAGGAACGCCGGUGGCGAAAGCGAUCCGCUGGCCCUCUACUGACGCUGAGGCGCGAAAGCCAGGGGAGCAAACGGG